AAUCAACGCUGGCGGCGUGCCUCAGACAUGCAAGUCGAACGCGAAAGUCCCCUUCGGGGGAUGAUUAGAGUGGCGCACGGGUGAGUAACACGUAGGUAAUCUACCUUCGAGUGGGGAAUAACUCAGGGAAACUUGAGCUAAUACCGCAUAAUGCAGCGGCACCACAUGGUGACAGUUGUUAAAGCAUUUAUGCGCUUGAAGAGGAGCCUGCGGCAGAUAGCUAGUUGGUAAGGUAAUGGCUUACCAAGGCUACGAUCUGUAACCGGCCUGAGAGGGCGGACGGUCACACUGACACUGAAUAACGGGUCAGACUCCUACGGGAGGCAGCAGUCGGGAAUUUUGGGCAAUGGGCGAAAGCCUGACCCAGCAACGCCGCGUGAAGGAU
Molecule: ribosomal RNA, 385 nt
Filed under: uncultured bacterium
Lineage: Bacteria
Description: bacterial SSU rRNA
Rfam family: Bacterial small subunit ribosomal RNA
Source: RNAcentral